Molecule: ribosomal RNA, 459 nt
Filed under: uncultured bacterium
Lineage: Bacteria
Description: partial 16S ribosomal RNA
Rfam family: Bacterial small subunit ribosomal RNA
Source: RNAcentral
CCUACGGGAGACAGCAGUGAGGAAUAUUGGUCAAUGGGCGGGAGCCUGAACCAGCGAAGCCGCGUGAGGGAAGAAGGCGCCAAGCGUCGUAAACUUCUUUUGUCGGGGAACAAAGGGAGCCGAGUGUGGCGUUGUGGGAGUACCCGAAGAACAAGCAUCGGCCAACUCCGUUCAUGCAGCCGCGGUAAUACGGGGGAUGCGGGCGUUAGCCGGUUUUGAUGGGUUGAAAGGGUGCGUAGGCGGUCCGGAAAGGCUGCGCUAAACGCCCGGGGCUAAGCUCCGGCGAGCCGUUGAAACUGUCGGACUAGAGACGGCGAGAAGUACGCGGAAUGCGCGGUGUAGCGGUGAAAUGCAUAGAUAUCGCGAAGAACUCCGAUUGCGAAGGCAGCGUACUGGCGCCGGACUGACGCUGAGGCACGAAAGCGUGGGUAUCGAACAGGAUUAGAUACCCUAGUAGUC